Molecule: long non-coding RNA, 180 nt
Organism: Lacerta agilis (Sand lizard)
Lineage: Eukaryota; Metazoa; Chordata; Lepidosauria; Squamata; Lacertidae
Exons: 3
Source: RefSeq, a predicted model, not a curated record
AAAAGACCAGGGUCAGGAGCAAGUUAAAAGUAUUGCCAUUGUCUUCUCCAAGUAGUGGCAGCGAUCACCGUGGAAAGAAGGUGGGGAGUUCACGGAGGGGGAUGAAGCCAAGCACAGAGCUGGUUGACUUUGCAGCAAUGCAGCCACCAACUGUUUUCUCAACUCCUAUGUCGCAUGUUA